Molecule: long non-coding RNA, 308 nt
Filed under: Brassica napus (rape)
Lineage: Eukaryota; Viridiplantae; Streptophyta; Magnoliopsida; Brassicales; Brassicaceae
Description: long non-coding RNA (BNAP_LNC015861)
Source: RNAcentral
UCUGAUAUUCCCAGCUGUCUGCAUAUUAGAAGUGUUACGAGUCGUUUGCCCAUUUAAUUAUUUCGUCCACAUUUAAAAAUGUGUUUUUCUUAACUGGUUUUAACCAAAGAUGACUCACACCUUCUUGUUUCGCUUUUGUCCACAUUAUUUCGUCCACAUUCCCAGCUGUAUGCAUAUUAGGAGUGUUACGAAGCCUGCUCGGACUUAGAAGGCCGGUCCUUGAACGGCCUCCUUUUGCUUCUUUAGAGGAAUGGUUUAGGUUCGGGCAGUUCGAUGAAUCAGUUUCUUGUUUCAUUUUGUUGUUCACG